Anas platyrhynchos (mallard) is the source of this 6351-nucleotide non-coding RNA. The record is from RefSeq and is a predicted model, not a curated record. NCBI's taxonomy places the organism in Eukaryota, Metazoa, Chordata, Aves, Anseriformes, Anatidae.
GAAGAUGGGCACAGGCUUGGAUGAGAGAAACAAGGAGGGAUUAAACACAAACAUUUCUGCAUCAAAAACCAUUUGGAACGUGCCCAGAUGGGGUGGUAGUGGCUAGCAGUGGCGUAACAGAGCUGUUCAGUGCCUGUGGCAGAUCAGAUCUACGUGUAAAGGGCUGGGGAAGUGCUGUGGCUCUCCCUCCUCUCCAUGUCUCUCUGGAGUAAUCCACCAGAAGUGCACUCUGACCCUGCUCCUGAGCCAUUUUUCCUUGCUCCUCCACCAGAGGUAACCCAGUCUCACAUCAUCGCACCUUACAACAGACGGGGGAGCGGCUCCCACCAGGUCCUGCAGCAGACCAGCCUCUGUCAGCAAGAAAGGAUUUAGCCUGGGGGAUCUGAAGAUUUUAAUUUCCUUUCUUCUCUCUCCGGCUUUACCAAUUUCCUUCCUCUCAUGUCUUGUACAUGCACAGCUUGUAAACAGCGGGGAGAAGAAAAAGGAAGGGUCUCAAAUUAGCCUGACUGCGUGGUAAACUCUGGUCAGGUGGUGGUCUCCACAGGUCUGUGGGAAGGUAAGGUACCAGCCAUGGUAAAGGUGGACUGUGGGAGUCCAGCCUCCAGGAUAUUAGAGAGGGAAGACUGUAAAUUUCAACAGAGAAUUCUUCACUUCCAUAAGGAAAAUAUUCAGCUUAUAUUUCCAAGAAAAUACUGGCAGUCCAGACACGUCUUCACUGUCACGAUGGAUCUAUUACAGAUGUGGGAAAAUGUUCCCCCACCCAAAUCUGGGACUCCCUAAGCCUGCCCACUAUAAAAGUCCUAUUAGAGAAAUCAGAAGAUGACCAUGGACUACCAGUUUCUUAAUAAAUGCUUCCAUUUCUUACAGCAUUUGAAAUGUGAGAUCCUGAGAUAAUGGCUCUAGGGUUGCUCAAGAGCACACGAUGCAGCCUCUCUGAGGAGCUUGCCUCGCUCCCCUCUCUGCUCCCUGACUGGUAAGACAGCUCAUAAACAGCUCCUGGAAUGGAGCUUGCUCACAUUGCCAAAAUUCAAUUUGUGUUUUUGUUCUUCUGAGGCAAAGACGUUGAAUGAUGUAAACCGAAAUGCCAGUCAGUUGGGUAACACCAGUUAAUAUUCUGUAGCUCGGAAAAAAAAGUUCCUGUAGCUGCAUUCCUUCCAGGUGCAGCUCACUUAAGCACUUCAGGUAACCACUGAGGGAGUACUCUGGGGCUUGGAGUCAGCAGCAGUUAAAACAUAAGCACACAGAGGCUAGCUUCCCCUUGGUCCAGAAUGCUCCCUGGUCUCCUGGGGAGUACAGGCAAGUCCAGCAAAUUGGACUGGCAUUUAAAAAAUUUAAAAUAAAAUAAAAUAAAAUAAAAUAAAAUAAAAUAAAAUAAAAUAAAAUAAAAUAAAAUAAAAUUUUAAAACUUAAAAAAUAUAUAAUAAUUUAAAAAAAAAAAAUGGAGAGAAGUGAAGAAUCACAUUUGGAAGGCCUGCUGACGUAGCUCGGAGGUGAAAGUGUUACAAACAGGACUUGAGACUUUUUCUUUUCACCGUAAAGAGUUGUUUGCCAUGCUAGAGUGUAUUCUUUCGCUGCUGAAAAUGAAAGUAUCACUCCUCUGAAUGCCAGAACAUUACAAGCAGUGAGAUGAUAACAGCUGAGACGAGGACCAACACCUAGAGGCUUACAGAGCAAACGUGACACAGGCGAGGGAGCUAAUGGUGCCAGGACACCUGCCCGUGUGUGACCAUCGCUUUCAGUAAGCAGCCUCUGGCCUGGCAGCCGAAGAAAGGUGGAGACUGAUUUGUACCCGGGCACAGCAGACCCUGGGGUUACAGGCUGCCAACAUCUGUAUCAGCAGGAGCAGAGCCAGCCCCAUGCUUCCUUGGACUGAGAGUUGAGGAGAGGAGAGCCAUAACAGAUAGGCUAAGGGGAACCAACACAGGUCGGGUACAUCGGUGGAUCUUACGAGAGGAAAUAGGCUUUUCCUUGGGUCCUCCCCAACAGCUACAAGAAGCCCUACUAUCUGGGUGAAAUGAGUACAACCCAAGCUGGUGUGAAGUACUGUGAAAGGCAUACGUCAGCUUUAACUAGUUGAGGGCUAGCAGGCUGAAACCCUGCCUAUCCAUCCGCAAGUUUCUUCCCAAUUUUCCUGGCACAGCACAUCGGCAAGGGGAGGGCCGUGUUUCUGGCUGGCUGAGCAGAGCGAAAACAACGGAGUUUGACCUGCGGUGUAGAGCUGCUGGCUCCAGUAAGCUCCCUCCCUGCGCUGGGAAUUAGUUUUGAACCCAGAAGAGGCUUGAUAAGAGACACAGAAGUGGCAGAGAAAGUUGAAAUGUGAUUCAAAGGCAAAGGGAAAUAUGCACAGAGCAACUCUUCCAAGUAUGGAGUGCCCUAAAAGACAUGGAUAAGAUGGAAAAUGAAAUUCAGUGAUGAGAAACACAAACCAGGGGCACGGGGAAUGAGAGAAACUGACCUACGUGUGCAGAAUGCUGGGAACUAACCCACUUGCUGCUUGGGAAAAGGACCUUUGAGUCACUGUGGCUAACACACAGAAAAAUGGUUGCACAAGGCUCAGAGAAAGUUGAAAAGCCUCCGAGAAAGAAAAAGAGAGUGAAACAGAAGACGUCAUUGUUUCACUGGGUAAAUUUAUCAUCCACCUACACUGCAGUUACUGCAGGCAGUUCUGCUGCCCUACCUCAGACAGGGCUGGUCGAGUGAGAGAGGUCGGGGAAAGCAGCAGGAUGCUCAGAGGUAUGGAAUGUGAGGGGAAACUAGAGAGGCUGCAAUUUUUUAGCCUGUAAAAGAGAUAAUUGUGAGGAGAUGUGGUAGCUAUAAAACCAAGUCAACAGGGGAGAAAGAUGGAUAGGAAGCACUUACUCAUUGUGUCAGAAAAACUAGAAUGAUCAGACCUCAGGUUUAAAUCAAUACACACAGAGCACAAUUAUGCUGUAGAUUUCAUUCCCACGGGAUGCUGUGGCAGCCAAAAAAGUAAAUUAAGUCAUAAGAAAACACUAAACAAUCUACAGGGAAUAGCUUAAUCAAGACCUACGGAUGCAACCGCCCAGAUGCUAUCUCCUGAUUCGGAAAUCCCCUACCUGCUGAUGGCUGGAAGCUGGAAGGGUGUACCAGAGAAGGCAUCACUUCAUCCAUGGUACUGCUGCCCUGUCAGAAGUAGGAUGCUGGGUCAGACUGACUGGUACGGGUGUUCAUACUGUCCAGGUCUGCACCCGGGAGGUGAUAUGGGCAACACUCCACAAUGCAACCAGACAGUGAACAUUAUUUAUAAGAGCCAAGUUUUCCGGAGAACCAGCAGGCCUUAACAUUGCAUUAAGUUGACCAGAAGUGUCAGUAACAAUAAAAUUAAAUUCAGAAGCACAGGUCAUGUUUUUUCAAGUCUCUAGAAAUAAUAGUAACCUCAUUCAAUCAACAGAAGAGUGAUUCAUUGGAUACCUGUUUUCCUUGCCAGGUUCUUUUUUUCCUUUGGGAGUGCAGAACAAAUAUUAGAAACCAAUCAUCAGGGUCCUUAAUUUACACGCACAUUACAACAACAUUAUUUAUAAAAUAGAAAAGUUACUACUCCACUCAGAGUGGGAAUGUGAAGCUUUUUAAAGCCAGUGACCCUUUACAGUUCAAGAACAAAAUCACCCCCUGGAGACUGUCUGUUAGGUGGCCCUGACAGCACCGUACUGCAAGAAGAGCUCCUCAGCAACAGAGACUGAGGCACCUUGUGAAACAGAGUGAAAAUCUUUUGUCUCUAUGUAUCUAAGCACUUCCUAUUUCCAUUGCAAGACAGAUGAACUUUUGAUAAAUAAUGGCCUAUUUGGGUUCUGCAACCCCCUUGAGAGCCACAGAGUGUGGGUAUCUCUCCAGACUUUGUUCCAGAGCCCCUGUAUAGCAGUGACUGUCAGUACCUGAGAGGGCCAGGAUAGUUUCUAAGGCCAUGAAACAGUUAAGCACAUAUAGGCAUUUGUAUGUGCUAGCAUACAUAUAUCAAUAAAUAAUAAAUAUUAAUAAUAAAUAUAAAUGAUACUUACAUAGAUAUAUAAGGAUACAUGCACACACAAUCAUGUAUUCAAUAUAUUCAAACAGUUCCAAUUUUUUAUAGCAGAAAUUGUGUAACUAGAACUGUGUAACAGUAUUCAAAAUUAUUCUCUUUCAGUGAUUCUUCAGCUUUUCUAGCAUUUUUAUUAAGCAGCUUUUAAAGAGUCCUCUUUGAACUCCUGUCAAAUGUUUUGCAUUUGUCUAAGAUGGUUUGUUUCAGUAAAUUGACACAUCUGUGGGUAGUUUCAGUAAAUCUGACUAUAAUGUUGUAGAAGCUUCUGUGAAAAAAUAAAACUGUUGGUAACUUUUCACUUUGGAGAAAAGAGUAAGAGAGAUUUUCUCCUGGAAAAGACUUCUCAGAUACACAUUUUUGACUAGCUUUAAUAAAAGGUCAAAGAAAUGAAAACAUUCCGGUUUCUUGGUUCUUGCCAGCUCCUGCUGCUGCUAUUUGUUUUUAGUUUUUUUUCCUUUACUUUUAUUAUUACUGAGCAUUUAUUAGUACUGUAGUGGUGCCCAGAGCCCCCGCAACCAUCCUGCCUGCACUUUGCAGCAUGAUUUACAAAGAGAUGAGCUGACAGCGGUUCUCCCGCAGAGACCUGACACUCUCAGCACACAGCCAGCCCACGUGGAGCCAGGAAGAGCGAUACAACAAAAACAGAUUCAAGCUUUGGUGGGCCUUGUGAGCAAGACGUGCAUCUCAGUAUGUCCCAGAGAAGACUCUGAACAACUGCAGCCAAAGAUAGUUUGGGAGAUUCAUAUCUACCUGCCAGAGAUACAGGUAUAUCCAUGCUGCAUAUGAUCACAGAGCAGUUGGGGCUGGAAAGGACCUUAAAGACCAUCCAGCUCCAACCCCCCUGCCAUGGGCAGGGACACCUCCCACCAGACCAGGUUGCCCAAAGCCCCAUCCAGCCCGGCCUUGAACACCUCCUGGGUUGAGGCAUCCACAACUUCUCUUGGUUGGGUAUAAUGCCAGAGACCAGUCCCCGAGCACUGCUGGGAAGAGCUGCUGACUGCAAAGCUCCCAAGGAUGGGUACAUCAGCAAGAGCAUGUUUGUCUUGGUGGGGAACCACAAAGGGAAGGGCACACCAGUGCUUAUAAAGUGCUGACUUCACCCCAGGCAGGAAAAUUUGGGAGUUACCUGUGCCACCGAGCCCCAAGGGGAAGUUGGUAAUUUUUAGCACCUUUCUCAGAGGAGGAAAUCAAGGGCUGAGGAAAAUGAGGCUGGUAAGGCACUGGGGUGAGACAAGGAUGUGGGGAUGCAGCAGCAGGGCAGCACUAUAAAUGAAAAUAAUUCCCUUGAGGCUACUGGACUCAGUUUGACUUUCCUGAGGUGAGGACAGUGAGGGGAUGAAAGAAGACGAUGAUGGUGAUGCAAGAGAGAACUCUGGAGCAUAAUUCAUCCCUACAUCUGCUGGACAGUGUCUGACUCGGGCAGGGGCACGCGGCUGGGGAUGCAAACAGCCAGAAAAUAACUCCCUGCCUGCCUCGGCUGAAGGGAAGGAAGUGAAUUAUUAACUGCAGCUUUAUGUCAACAAUGGCAUAACGUUAAUCCUGCGCCGAGCUAAACUGAUAAUAACUAAUAAGAACUGUUUAUGGCUUAUUCAGUGGAAAUUAAGGGAACAAUGAGUAAAAUAUAAUCAGAUACGCAAUAAACAUUAAUUAACAAGUUAGAGACACUGAGACAAUCACUGGCAAACAAGAUUGUAAAUGUUUAAAUAAUGUAGCAGUUGCAGAGCAGAUGUAUAUUAAAUUAAAUGGACAGUCUCACUGACAGAGAAGAUAUGUUUAACAGGUAGUAAAAUCAGCACACAAAAAUGUAUUGUGCUGUGCACGGUACAUUGGAUAGCACAGGCACAAUGAGAGUAGUAUUUCAGUGCACUAUAUCAGGCGUUCUGUUUAAAAGGUGGCCAUUAUUUCUGCCUCUUUAUGAGAAAAAUGUAAAAUAAAACAUCCAUAGGCAAGCCAUUAGAGAAACCAUGCCUGCAGAAUUUACCCAGGCAAGUCUGAAAGAGCAUGAAAAGUUAUCAAUCAUUUUGAGGCAAUAACCUGGAGAUACCUGCCCUGGGAAUGUAGUAAAUACAGUAUCUGCAGCAACCCCUAAUGCUAUGUUGAGGAUGAAAUCCAGGUAAGCUCAGCAAUUUAUAGUAAAGAAGGGUGAAAUGGCAUGUUAAACAUAUAAUUUGCUUAUAGUAUUCAUAUUAGCAACCUCAUACAGAGAAAAACACAGUUUGUUGGAAUACAAUUUGCUAUGGUAUGCUUCAUUUCAUUAUUGGGAAUUGUGCUGUAACUCAGAUCAUGCCAAUAAAGAAAGAAAGACUCUGCCUGAA